RNAcentral lists this ribosomal RNA (519 nucleotides) under Clarias gariepinus (North African catfish). Its description in RNAcentral is "partial large subunit ribosomal RNA". The record is from RNAcentral. Lineage: Eukaryota; Metazoa; Chordata; Actinopteri; Siluriformes; Clariidae.
GAAAAGGGUUGUGGAAAGUAAGCUCUUGAUAGCGGCGUGGACUAAUUGGACGGCCGCGGUAUUUUGACCGUGCGAAGGUAGCGCAAUCACUUGUCUUUUAAUGAGACCUGUAUGAUGGUGGACGAGGGCUUAACUGUCUCUCCUUCGAGUCAUGAAAUUGAUCUGCCCGUGCAGAAGCGGACAUAAAAUACAGACGAGAGACCCUUUGGAGCUUAGAUACAAGAUCACUAUGUCAAGAACCAAAAAGUUAACUAAUAGCACUGAUCCCUAUCUUCGGUUGGGGCGACGCGGGGGAAACAAAGCUCCCGCGAAUGGGGCACCCCGAGCACAAGAAGUAUUUUCAGCCAGAAAUCUGACAUAAGUCCGGCACGGCGACAGGCCAGUUACCCUAGGGAACGCGCAUCUCUCCGAGUCUAUCCACAGGGUUACACCCGUUUGUACGGACCCAAGGGCACCUAUAUGUUCGUUGUUCAGAUAGGCCAGACUGUCGACGUUUGGGGGACGGGUGACGUUGCCCCA